GAUCCUGGCUCAGGAUGAACGCUAGCUACAGGCUUAACACAUGCAAGUCGCGGGGCAGCAUUCACUUAGCUUGCUAAGGAAGAUGGCGACCGGCGCACGGGUGAGUAACGCGUAUCCAACCUUCCCAUGUCCACGGGAUAGCCCGUCGAAAGGCGGAUUAAUACCGUAUGAGGUCACAUGCGGGCAUCUAAGUGUGACGAAAGGUUUGGCGGACAUGGAUGGGGAUGCGUCCGAUUAGCUAGUUGGCGGGGUAACGGCCCACCAAGGCGACGAUCGGUAGGGGUUCUGAGAGGAAGGUCCCCCACAUUGGAACUGAGACACGGUCCAAACUCCUACGGGAGGCAGCAGUGAGGAAUAUUGGUCAAUGGGCGAGAGCCUGAACCAGCCAAGUAGCGUGCGGGACGACGGCCCUAUGGGUUGUAAACCGCUUUUGAUUGGGAACAAAGAGCGCCACGUGUGGUGCGUUGCGUGUACCUUUCGAAUAAGCAUCGGCUAAUUCCGUG
This 503-nucleotide ribosomal RNA is filed under the name uncultured bacterium. RNAcentral describes it as "bacterial SSU rRNA". It matches the Rfam family "Bacterial small subunit ribosomal RNA", at positions 15 to 507 of the family's 1533-position model. The record is from RNAcentral.